RNAcentral lists this ribosomal RNA (777 nucleotides) under uncultured Neocallimastigales. RNAcentral describes it as "partial large subunit ribosomal RNA". It matches the Rfam family "Eukaryotic large subunit ribosomal RNA", at positions 22 to 634 of the family's 3401-position model. Lineage: Eukaryota; Fungi; Neocallimastigomycota; Neocallimastigomycetes; Neocallimastigales. The record is from RNAcentral.
AUAUCAGUCAUGCAUAGCAUAUCAAUAAGCGGAGGAAAAGAAACUAACAAGGAUUCCCCUAGUAACGGCGAGUGAAGCGGGAAGAGCUCAAAUUUGAAAUCUUAAAAGGUUUUCCUUUUACGAAUUGUAGUUUAAAGAAGUGUUUUCUGUUAAAAUUUUAGUAAAAGUUCUUUGGAAUAGGACAUCAUAGAGGGUGAGAAUCCCGUAUUUGACUAGAAUUUUUCAACUUUGUGAUACACUUUCAAAGAGUCGGAUUGUUUGGGAAUGCAGUCCAAAAGUGGGUGGUAAAUUUCAUCUAAAGCUAAAUAUUGGCGAGAGACCGAUAGCGAACAAGUACCGUGAGGGAAAGAUGAAAAGAACUUUGAAAAGAGAGUUAAAUAGUACGUGAAAUUGUCAAAAGGGAAGCGUUUGGCACCAGUGUUGUUUUUCUAAAAAUCAAUUUAAAAUUUGCUUAUGCUAAGUUUUUUAGACUUAAUCGGCUAAUAAUUUAGUUUUUUGUAAUUUUUGAAUGCACUUUUUAGUUAACAAGUCAACAUCAAUUUCUUUUGUUGUAAAAGAAUAAGAGGAAGGUGGCUUGGAAUUCUUUUCAAGUGUUUAUAGCCUUUUAUUUCUGCAAUAGGAGGGAUUGAGGUCUGCAGCAUAGAUCCUUCGGGGCUAGAUGCAUUUUCGCUAAGAGUCAGUAUUAUAUAAACAACUUGUUGAUUAUGUAGUAUGUUGAUUUUUACUCGGGAGUGUUAUUUUACCUACGCUUAGGAUGUUGACGCAUGAGAUAUACGC